RNAcentral lists this ribosomal RNA (467 nucleotides) under uncultured bacterium. RNAcentral's name for it is "bacterial SSU rRNA". It matches the Rfam family "Bacterial small subunit ribosomal RNA", at positions 355 to 825 of the family's 1533-position model. The record is from RNAcentral.
UAGGGAAUAUUGGGCAAUGGAGGGAACUCUGACCCAGCCAUGCCGCGUGCAGGAUGAAGGCGUUAUGCGUUGUAAACUGCUUUUUAUAUAGGAAGAAAUAGUCCUUGCGAGGAAAGUUGACGGUACUAUAUGAAUAAGCACCGGCUAACUCCGCGCCAGCAGCCGCGGUAAUACGGAGGGUGCAAGCGUUGUCCGGAUUUAUUGGGUUUAAAGGGUGCGUAGGCGGUUUAUUAAGUCAGUGGUGAAAGACGGUCGCUCAACGAUUGCAGUGCCAUUGAUACUGGUAGACUUGAGUAUGAUUGAGGUAGCUGGAAUGGAUAGUGUAGCGGUGAAAUGCAUAGAUAUUAUCCAGAACACCAAUUGCGUAGGCAAGUUACUAAGUCAUAACUGACGCUGAGGCACGAAAGUGUGGGUAUCAAACAGGAUUAGAUACCCAGGUAGUCCCUGAGCGGGCUGGCAAGGCGCAU